GACGAACGCUGGCGGCGUGCUUAACACAUGCAAGUCGAACGGAAAGGCCCUGCGUUUGUGGGGUUCUCGAGUGGCGAACGGGUGAGUAACACGUGAGUAACCUGCCCUUGACUUUGGGAUAACUUCAGGAAACUGGGGCUAAUACCGGAUAGGAGCUCCUGCUGCAUGGUGGGGGUUGGAAAGUUUCGGCGGUUGGGGAUGGACUCGCGGCUUAUCAGCUUGUUGGUGGGGUAGUGGCUUACCAAGGCUUUGACGGGUAGCCGGCCUGAGAGGGUGACCGGCCACAUUGGGACUGAGAUACGGCCCAGACUCCUACGGGAGGCAGAAGUGGGAAAUAUUGCACAAUGGGCGGAAGCCUGAUGCAGCAACGCCGCGUGCGGGAUGACGGCCUUCGGGUUGUAAACCGCUUUCGCCUGUGACGAAGCGUGAGUGACGGUACUGGGUAAAGAAGCACCGGCUAACUACGUG
Molecule: ribosomal RNA, 468 nt
Filed under: uncultured bacterium
Lineage: Bacteria
Description: partial 16S ribosomal RNA
Rfam family: Bacterial small subunit ribosomal RNA
Source: RNAcentral